This 72-nucleotide transfer RNA is filed under the name Bigelowiella natans CCMP2755. RNAcentral describes it as "tRNA-Val for anticodon AAC". It matches the Rfam family "tRNA". From Rfam's summary of the family: Transfer RNA (tRNA) molecules are approximately 80 nucleotides in length. Their secondary structure includes four short double-helical elements and three loops (D, anti-codon, and T loops). The record is from RNAcentral. Lineage: Eukaryota; Cercozoa; Chlorarachniophyceae.
AGCGAAGUGGCGCAGAGGUAGCGUGCCUGGCCCACAACCAGGAGGACACUGGAUCGAAACCAGUGUUCGCUG